This 742-nucleotide ribosomal RNA is filed under the name uncultured bacterium. RNAcentral's name for it is "bacterial SSU rRNA". It matches the Rfam family "Bacterial small subunit ribosomal RNA", at positions 158 to 917 of the family's 1533-position model. The record is from RNAcentral.
GAAUGCUAAUACCUAAUAUUAUGAUAAUAGGGCAUCCUAUAAUUAUGAAAGCUAUAUGCGCUGUGAGAGAGCUUUGCGUCCCAUUAGCUAGUUGGAGAGGUAACGGCUCACCAAGGCGAUGAUGGGUAGCCGGCCUGAGAGGGUGAUCGGCCACAAGGGGACUGAGACACGGCCCUUACUCCUACGGGAGGCAGCAGUGGGGAAUAUUGGACAAUGGACCGAGAGUCUGAUCCAGCAAUUCUGUGUGCACGAUGAAGUUUUUCGGAAUGUAAAGUGCUUUCAGUUGGGAAGAAAUAAAUGACGGUACCAACAGAAGAAGUGACGGCUAAAUACGUGCCAGCAGCCGCGGUAAUACGUAUGUCACGAGCGUUAUCCGGAUUUAUUGGGCGUAAAGCGCGUCUAGGUGGUUAUAUAAGUCUGAUGUGAAAAUGCAGGGCUCAACUCUGUAUUGCGUUGGAAACUGUAUAACUAGAGUACUGGAGAGGUAAGCGGAACUACAAGUGUAGAGAUGAAAUUCGUAGAUAUUUGUAGGAAUGCCGAUGGGGAAGCCAGCUUACUGGACAGAUACUGACGCUGAAGCGCGAAAGCGUGGGUAGCAAACAGGAUUAGAUACCCUGGUAGUCCACGCUGUAAACGAUGAUUACUAGGUGUUGGGGGUCGAACCUCAGCGCCCAAGCAAACGCGAUAAGUAAUCCGCCUGGGGAGUACGUACGCAAGUAUGAAACUCAAAGGAAUUGACGGC